GGAGAGGUGCUGGAGUGGUCGAUCAGGUACGCCUGGAAAGCGUAUGUAGUGAAAGCUACCGUGGGUUCGAAUCCCACCCUCUCCGCCA
RNAcentral lists this transfer RNA (88 nucleotides) under Anaerolinea sp. Its description in RNAcentral is "tRNA-Ser". It matches the Rfam family "tRNA". From Rfam's summary of the family: Transfer RNA (tRNA) molecules are approximately 80 nucleotides in length. Their secondary structure includes four short double-helical elements and three loops (D, anti-codon, and T loops). Further hydrogen bonds mediate the characteristic L-shaped molecular structure. tRNAs have two regions of fundamental functional importance: the anti-codon, which is responsible for specific mRNA codon recognition, and the 3' end, to which the tRNAs corresponding amino acid is attached (by aminoacyl-tRNA synthetases). tRNAs cope with the degeneracy of the genetic code in two manners: having more than one tRNA (with a specific anti-codon) for a particular amino acid; and 'wobble' base-pairing, i.e. permitting non-standard base-pairing at the 3rd anti-codon position. RNAcentral also lists the same sequence under 2 other names. Lineage: Bacteria; Bacillati; Chloroflexota; Anaerolineae; Anaerolineales; Anaerolineaceae. The record is from RNAcentral.